UUUGAGUUUGAUCGUGGCUCAGAUUGAACGCACGCGGCAGGCUUCAACACAUGCAAGUCGAGCGGUAGCACAGGGGAGCUUGCUCCCUGGGUGACGAGCGGCGGACGGGUGAGUAAUGUCUGGGAAACUGCCUGAUGGAGGGGGAUAACUACUGGAAACGGUAGCUAAUACCGCAUAACGUCGCAAGACCAAAGAGGGGGACCUUCGGGCCUCUUGCCAUCAGAUGUGCCCAGAUGGGAUUAGCUAGUAGGUGGGGUAAUGGCUCACCUAGGCGACGAUCCCUAGCUGGUCUGAGAGGAUGACCAGCCACACUGGAACUGAGACACGGUCCAGACUCCUACGGGAGGCAGCAGUGGGGAAUAUUGCACAAUGGGCGCAAGCCUGAUGCAGCCAUGCCGCGUGUGUGAAGAAGGCCUUCGGGUUGUAAAGCACUUUCAGCGAGGAGGAAGGUGGUGAACUUAAUACGUUCAUCAAUUGACGUUACUCGCAGAAGAAGCACCGGCUAACUCCGUGCCAGCCGCCGCCGUAACACAAA
This 535-nucleotide ribosomal RNA is filed under the name Serratia marcescens. Its description in RNAcentral is "bacterial SSU rRNA". It matches the Rfam family "Bacterial small subunit ribosomal RNA", at positions 1 to 529 of the family's 1533-position model. Lineage: Bacteria; Pseudomonadati; Pseudomonadota; Gammaproteobacteria; Enterobacterales; Yersiniaceae. The record is from RNAcentral.